CGCGUAUAGAACCUACCUUUUACUGAGGGAUAGCCUUUAGAAAUGAAGAUUAAUACCUCAUAGUAUUGCGAUUUGGCAUCAGAUUGUAAUUAAAGAUUUAUUGGUAAAAGAUGGCUAUGCGUCUUAUUAGCUAGAUGGUAAGGUAACGGCUUACCAUGGCAACGAUAAGUAGGGGCCCUGAGAGGGGGAUCCCCCACACUGGUACUGAGACACGGACCAGACUCCUACGGGAGGCAGCAGUGAGGAAUAUUGGGCAAUGGAGGCAACUCUGACCCAGCCAUGCCGCGUGCAGGAAGACUG
Molecule: ribosomal RNA, 300 nt
Filed under: uncultured Flavobacteriaceae bacterium
Lineage: Bacteria; Pseudomonadati; Bacteroidota; Flavobacteriia; Flavobacteriales; Flavobacteriaceae
Description: bacterial SSU rRNA
Rfam family: Bacterial small subunit ribosomal RNA
Source: RNAcentral